GGCGUCUGUUUGCAAAAGAUUCUCAUUGGUUGAUUCACCAAAAACAAUUAAGGGGGUGAAAGUACCCCAUUUGCAAGGAUCACUUCAGCUCGUCGAUUGUUGCUGCUUAGAACAAUAGUUAAGUGGCGUCUGUUUGCAAAAGAUUCUCAUUGGUUGAUUCACCAAAAACAAUUAAAGGGGUGAAAGUACCCCAUUUGCAAGGAUCGCCUGAGCUCGUCGAUUGUUGCUGCUUAGAACAAUAGUUAAGUGGCGUCUGUUUGCAAAAGAUUCUCAUUGGUUGAUUCACCAAAAACAAUUAAAGGGGUGAAAGUACCCCAUUUGCAAGGAUCGCCUGAGCUCGUCGAUUGUUGCUGCUUAGAACAAUAGUUAAGUGGCGUCUGUUUGCAAAAGAUUCUCAUUGGUUGAUUCACCAAAAACAAUUAAAGGGGUGAAAGUACCCCAUUUGCAAGGAUCGCCUGAGCUCGUCGAUUGUUGCUGCUUAGAACAAUAGUUAAGUGGCGUCUGUUUGCAAAAGAUUCUCAUUGGUUGAUUCACCAAAAACAAUUAAAGGGGUGAAAGUACCCCAUUUGCAAGGAUCGCCUGAGCUCGUCGAUUGUUGCUGCUUAGAACAAUAGUUAAGUGGCGUCUGUUUGCAAAAGAUUCUCAUUGGUUGAUUCACCAAAAACAAUUAAAGGGGUGAAAGUACCCCAUUUGCAAGGAUCGCCUGAGCUCGUCGAUUGUUGCUGCUUAGAACAAUAGUUAAGUGGCGUCUGUUUGCAAAAGAUUCUCAUUGGUUGAUUCACCAAAAACAAUUAAAGGGGUGAAAGUACCCCAUUUGCAAGGAUCGCCUGAGCUCGUCGAUUGUUGCUGCUUAGAACAAUAGUUAAGUGGCGUCUGUUUGCAAAAGAUUCUCAUUGGUUGAUUCACCAAAAACAAUUAAAGGGGUGAAAGUACCCCAUUUGCAAGGAUCGCCUGAGCUCGUCGAUUGUUGCUGCUUAGAACAAUAGUUAAGUGGCGUCUGUUUGCAAAAGAUUCUCAUUGGUUGAUUCACCAAAAACAAUUAAAGGGGUGAAAGUACCCCAUUUGCAAGGAUCGCCUGAGCUCGUCGAUUGUUGCUGCUUAGAACAAUAGUUAAGUGGCGUCUGUUUGCAAAAGAUUCUCAUUGGUUGAUUCACCAAAAACAAUUAAAGGGGUGAAAGUACCCCAUUUGCAAGGAUCGCCUGAGCUCGUCGAUUGUUGCUGCUUAGAACAAUAGUUAAGUGGCGUCUGUUUGCAAAAGAUUCUCAUUGGUUGAUUCACCAAAAACAAUUAAAGGGGUGAAAGUACCCCAUUUGCAAGGAUCGCCUGAGCUCGUCGAUUGUUGCUGCUUAGAACAAUAGUUAAGUGGCGUCUGUUUGCAAAAGAUUCUCAUUGGUUGAUUCACCAAAAACAAUUAAAGGGGUGAAAGUACCCCAUUUGCAAGGAUCGCCUGAGCUCGUCGAUUGUUGCUGCUUAGAACAAUAGUUAAGUGGCGUCUGUUUGCAAAAGAUUCUCAUUGGUUGAUUCACCAAAAACAAUUAAAGGGGUGAAAGUACCCCAUUUGCAAGGAUCGCCUGAGCUCGUCGAUUGUUGCUGCUUAGAACAAUAGUUAAGUGGCGUCUGUUUGCAAAAGAUUCUCAUUGGUUGAUUCACCAAAAACAAUUAAAGGGGUGAAAGUACCCCAUUUGCAAGGAUCGCCUGAGCUCGUCGAUUGUUGCUGCUUAGAACAAUAGUUAAGUGGCGUCUGUUUGCAAAAGAUUCUCAUUGGUUGAUUCACCAAAAACAAUUAAAGGGGUGAAAGUACCCCAUUUGCAAGGAUCGCCUGAGCUCGUCGAUUGUUGCUGCUUAGAACAAUAGUUAAGUGGCGUCUGUUUGCAAAAGAUUCUCAUUGGUUGAUUCACCAAAAACAAUUAAAGGGGUGAAAGUACCCCAUUUGCAAGGAUCGCCUGAGCUCGUCGAUUGUUGCUGCUUAGAACAAUAGUUAAGUGGCGUCUGUUUGCAAAAGAUUCUCAUUGGUUGAUUCACCAAAAACAAUUAAAGGGGUGAAAGUACCCCAUUUGCAAGGAUCGCCUGAGCUCGUCGAUUGUUGCUGCUUAGAACAAUAGUUAAGUGGCGUCUGUUUGCAAAAGAUUCUCAUUGGUUGAUUCACCAAAAACAAUUAAAGGGGUGAAAGUACCCCAUUUGCAAGGAUCGCCUGAGCUCGUCGAUUGUUGCUGCUUAGAACAAUAGUUAAGUGGCGUCUGUUUGCAAAAGAUUCUCAUUGGUUGAUUCAC
This is a long non-coding RNA of Agrilus planipennis (emerald ash borer), 2270 nucleotides long. RefSeq lists it as uncharacterized. NCBI's taxonomy places the organism in Eukaryota, Metazoa, Arthropoda, Insecta, Coleoptera, Buprestidae. The transcript has 19 exons. The record is from RefSeq and is a predicted model, not a curated record.